Molecule: non-coding RNA, 276 nt
Organism: Anarrhichthys ocellatus (wolf-eel)
Lineage: Eukaryota; Metazoa; Chordata; Actinopteri; Perciformes; Anarhichadidae
Product: small Cajal body-specific RNA 6
Exons: 1
Source: RefSeq, a predicted model, not a curated record
GGUCAGUGAUGAGCAGUAAAAGGUCUGAUUACCCACAAUCCUCUCCUGCUGCCCUCUAGUUCCCAGCAGCUCCUGCUCUGUUCUCCCAUCAUGCUCUAGUGGUGCAGGGUGGUCCCAGGAGCUGCUGACAGACAGACAGGAUGUGACAUCACAGUGCGAGUCGGUACAGAGACCCUACAGACUCGGUGUGAUGAUGUCAUCUAACAGAACCUAUCAGUGAGGAGCGUGAGGCUGAGGAGGAGGAGGGAGAUGAUCUCCAGUUUUCAACCUGAGACC